AUGGGAACGCGAAGAACCUUACCUACUCUUGACAUCCAGAGAACUUUCCAGAGAUGGAUUGGUGCCUUCGGGAACGUGUGAGACAGGUGCUGCAUGGCUGUCGUCAGCUCGUGUUGUGAAUGUUGGUUAAGUCCCGCAACGAGCGCAACCCGUUAUCCUUUGUUGCCAGCGGUUAGGCCGGGAACUCAAAGGAGACUGCCAGUGAUAAACUGGAGGAAGGUGGGGAUGACGUCAAGUCAUCAUGGCCCUUACGAGUAGGGCUACACACGUGCUACAAUGGCGCAUACAAAGAGAAGCGACCUCGCGAGAGCAAGCGGACCUCAUAAAGUGCGUCGUAGUCCGGAUUGGAGUCUGCAACUCGACUCCAUGAAGUCGGAAUCGCUAGUAAUCGUAGAUCAGAAUGCUACGGUGAAUACGUUCCCGGGUCUUGUACACACCGA
Molecule: ribosomal RNA, 440 nt
Filed under: uncultured bacterium
Lineage: Bacteria
Description: bacterial SSU rRNA
Rfam family: Bacterial small subunit ribosomal RNA
Source: RNAcentral